CGCCUAACACAUGCAAGUCGAACGAAGUAGCAAUACUUAGUGGCAGACGGGUGAGUAACAUGUGGGUAUCUGCCCUUUGGCCUGGAAUAACACGAGGAAACUUGUGCUAAUACUGGAUAAGUCUUUACGGAGAAAGCUUUACGCACCAUUGGAUGAGCCCGCACUUGAUUAGUUUGUUGGUGGGGUAAUGGCCCACCAAGACUUUGAUCAAUAGCUGAUUUGAGAGGAUGAUCAGCCACAUUGGGACUGAGACACGGCCCAAACUCCUACGGGAGGCAGCAGUGGGGAAUCUUGCACAAUGGAGGAAACUCUGAUGCAGCGAUGCCGCGUGAGUGAAGAAGGCCCUUGGGUUGUAAAGCUCUUUCGUCGGGGAAGAAAAUGACUGUACCCGAAUAAGAAGGUCCGGCUAACUUCGUGCCAGCAGCCGCGGUAAUACGAAGGGACCUAGCGUAGUUCGGAAUUACUGGGCUUAAAGAGUUCGUAGGUGGUUGAAAAAGUUGGUGGUGAAAUCCCAGAGCUUAACUCUGGAACUGCCAUCAAAACUUUUCAGCUAGAGUUUGAUAGAGGAAAGCAGAAUUUCUAGUGUAGAGGUGAAAUUCGUAGAUAUUAGAAAGAAUACCAAUUGCGAAGGCAGCUUUCUGGAUCAUUACUGACACUGAGGAACGAAAGCAUGGGUAGCGAAGAGGAUUAGAUACCCUCGUAGUCCAUGCCGUAAACGAUGUGUGUUAGACGUUGGAAAUUUAUUUUCAGUGUCGCAGCGAAAGCGAUAAACACACCGCCUGGGGAGUACGACC
This 794-nucleotide ribosomal RNA is filed under the name uncultured Pelagibacteraceae bacterium. Its description in RNAcentral is "bacterial SSU rRNA". It matches the Rfam family "Bacterial small subunit ribosomal RNA", at positions 45 to 887 of the family's 1533-position model. Lineage: Bacteria; Pseudomonadati; Pseudomonadota; Alphaproteobacteria; Candidatus Pelagibacterales; Candidatus Pelagibacteraceae. The record is from RNAcentral.